RNAcentral lists this unclassified non-coding RNA (385 nucleotides) under Hevea brasiliensis (rubber tree). The record is from RNAcentral. Lineage: Eukaryota; Viridiplantae; Streptophyta; Magnoliopsida; Malpighiales; Euphorbiaceae.
GUUAUCUCAGCAACCAAACAAACAGCUAAAAGCAAACUUUAGUGAAACGAUUCCAUAAAAACUCGAUUCAACUAACAAUAAACCAGAAACCCAAACUCCAACCACUUCAAAAUUAACCAAAUUUUUUAGUCUAACCCAUUGUUUGGAUCUCCUAAACUACACUUAGUUCAGAUUAGAAUUUCACUUUAUCCCAUUAAAAGCCGGUUAAAACAUAAAGACAUUAAAUUUAAGACUUCAUUCUUUUUUUUUUUCUCCUUCAAUUCUCCUCAGAUUCUUGACGGCCAACAAUUAUAACUAAACAAUAACAGAAAUCCUAUACCAAUAAAAUAAAAUUAAAUAUUAAAAAAUUGAAAAUUAAUUACCAUUCUUUUAACCAUUUAGCAGC